CGGGACUNGAUUUCGGUGUCGCAGCUAACGCGUUAAGCACUCCGCCUGGGAAGUACGGUCGCAAGAUUAAAACUCAACGGAAUUGACGGGGACCCGCACAAGCGGUGGNACAUGUGGUUUAAUUCGAUGNUACGCGAAAAACCUUACCAGACCUUGACAUGGUGGACAUAUGGCUAAGAGAUUAGUCAGUCGGUUCGGCCGGUCCAUCACAGGUGCUGCAUGGCUGUCGUCAGCUCGUGUCGUGAGAUGUUGGGUUAAGUCCCGCAACGAGCGCAACCCUCAUUCUUAGUUACCAGCGGGUAAUGCCCGGGCACUCUAAGAAAACUGCCCGGUGAUAAGCCGGAGGAAGGUGGGGAUGACGUCAAGUCAGCAUGGCCCUUACGGUCUGGGCUACACACGUGUUACAAUGGUGGUUACAGUAGGAAGCAACAGAGCGAUCUAGAGCAGAUCCUAAAAAGCCACCUCAGUUCGGAUUGUAUUCUGCAACUCGGAUACAUGAAGUUGGAAUCGCUAGUAAUCGCAGAUCAGCACGCUGCGGUGAAUACGUUCACGGGUCUUGUACACACUGCCCGUCACGCCAUGGGAGUUAAUUUUACCUUAAGUAGGUGAGCCAACCGCCAAGGAGGCAGCUUACCACGGUAAUGUUGAUGACUGGGGUGAAGUCGUAACCAAGGUACC
This 678-nucleotide ribosomal RNA is filed under the name uncultured bacterium. RNAcentral describes it as "bacterial SSU rRNA". It matches the Rfam family "Bacterial small subunit ribosomal RNA", at positions 824 to 1500 of the family's 1533-position model. The record is from RNAcentral.